This 642-nucleotide ribosomal RNA is filed under the name uncultured bacterium. RNAcentral's name for it is "bacterial SSU rRNA". It matches the Rfam family "Bacterial small subunit ribosomal RNA", at positions 202 to 842 of the family's 1533-position model. The record is from RNAcentral.
CAAAGGUUAAUUCCGGUGGCGGAUGGGCAUGCGUCGCAUUAGUUAGUUGGCGGUGUAACGGACCACCAAGACGACGAUGCGUAGGGGUUCUGAGAGGAAGGUCCCCCACACUGGUACUGAGACACGGACCAGACUCCUACGGGAGGCAGCAGUGAGGAAUAUUGGUCAAUGGGCGGGAGCCUGAACCAGCCAAGUCGCGUGAGGGAUGACGGCCCUAUGGGUUGUAAACCUCUUUUGCCGGGGAGCAAAGUGCCGCACGUGUGCGGUUUGGAGAGUACCCGGAGAAAAAGCAUCGGCUAACUCCGUGCCAGCAGCCGCGGUAAUACGGAGGAUGCGAGCGUUAUCCGGAUUUAUUGGGUUUAAAGGGUGCGUAGGCGGACGCUUAAGUCAGCGGUAAAAUUGCGGGGCUCAACCUCGUCGAGCCGUUGAAACUGGGUGCCUUGAGUGGGCGAGAAGUACGCGGAAUGCGUGGUGUAGCGGUGAAAUGCAUAGAUAUCACGCAGAACUCCGAUUGCGAAGGCAGCGUACCGGCGCCCAACUGACGCUGAAGCACGAAGGCGUGGGUAUCGAACAGGAUUAGAUACCCUGGUAGUCCACGCAGUAAACGAUGAAUGCUAGUUGUCCGGGGCGAUUGAGUUCUGG